RNAcentral lists this long non-coding RNA (2679 nucleotides) under Lupinus angustifolius (narrow-leaved blue lupine). Its description in RNAcentral is "long non-coding RNA (LANG_LNC001790)". The record is from RNAcentral. Lineage: Eukaryota; Viridiplantae; Streptophyta; Magnoliopsida; Fabales; Fabaceae.
AUCAGUCUUUCAUCAAUGUUUAAUAAAUAAGGGAAAGCUUGUAAGUUGUUAGAACAUGGCUGCUAAUUGGUAAAUUCAACCUGUAUAAUGCUUCUCUAAGUAAACUCAGUAUAAACCAUUGUUCAAAUAAAUUACCGGCCAUAUUGCUAUAAAAUGAACAUUGAAAUCUUCAUGUUGUUGAUAAUUUGUUUUACUGAAAUGAGCGAAAGUCUCAGUGCAUUGGACCAUCAUUUUUUUGCGUGUAUUAUGUCAAUAUCUUCAGUGCAUUAAAGAAUAUUAUGUCAAUAUGAAAUAGUUGGACUCCCUCGUUUUAGCAAUUUUGAUCAAAUGAAUGAAAUGAUCAUGCAUGAUUGGCCAACAGCCAAUUCUUUCACAUUCAAGUAUAACAGUUGACAAGUUCAGUAACACCAUCUUUACCUAGUGUUCAAUCCACAAAUCCAAGCAAGCACCCUAGUUUUGUUUUGCCCUAAUCUACAUAUUCAGAUCACAACACUUACAGGAAAAUAGGUGAAAGAGAAAGCUAAAUCAACUCCAGAAACAGAGCCUCAUUCUUGCUGCUAAGGCCUACUUCAUUCAAGGUUGACGAACUAUCAUUAGUGCCGUAAGCACGUCUCGGGUAUGACUUUACCUGUUCAAAUAUCCAGAACACUGAUGGUUAUCAUUUAAUCAUCACAGAUAAAUAUAUCAUAUGCUGGCUAUACAUACAGAAAUGAACAAUAUGAUUGUCUCCAUAAAAAAUUCAUUUUACCUAACGUGUGACACUACAGACUCAAGUGUCAAAUUUGACCCAAAAAAAUUCUCAGUGCUACCAUCUAUUCAUCUAAGCCUUUGUCAGCUUUUAUAAAAUAUCAUGACAACUCACAACAGUGACCUAAUUGAUUCUGAGAUAUGUUUAUCAAAGCAUAUAUAAUUACAGUGUACUAUCUAUGCACUAUUGGUAUAAAUAUCCCAGUUGAGGCUGAAAUCAACACUCUUGGUGCCAUAUAUGAACGUGGAUUGAUUGGAACAUAUCAGAACUGGUAUGAAAAGCCCUUUUCUUCUAUACAUUAAUGAAUAAAUUAAAGGUGGGAGAUCUAUGCUAGGGAAAAGUUGAGUGAGUUUAUUAAAGAAAUAAUAUAAUUAGUUGACACAAAAGUAGCUUUUUUGAAUGCUUAACUACCCAAUAAGAUUAGCAGCAUGUUGGAGUGGAUAGUUUAAAACUUUUGGUAUAGUCAAGGACUUCCAAUUAAUAGCAGCUUUAUGAAAAAAAGGACUUUAAAAAGUUCUAAUUAAUAGGUUUAAUUUUAUAUUAUGCCAGCUUCUCUGCUAGGCAGUACUUAACCCCCACAAAACUUUGUCCUUCACUAUAGACAGGAAACCUAGGAAGCACCUUACCCUACUCAAACAAUGAUGUUUUUUUCAUUUUGAGACCACUCUCGCCCAUGUAGCCAUCAACCUCCUUGUAUAACUAGGUCAUGGUGCCAUCAUUGCACUGAUGGUGGAGAGCAAAAUGAAGUUAAUCUAUCAAACUCACUCUAACUUUUUUGGUUGUUCAUGUUCAUGCACAUGGCUUAGUUCUGAUAAGAUAAAUUGGUUUAGGACUUUUUUUUUUUUGAGAAGUGUGAGCAUAUGCUCCAUUUUCUUUGGGAGACCAAUCUAUGUUCCAUGGCAUGAAACUGUUUCACAUAAAAUGUGGUAUUGUUAAAGUAUAUAAUAUGAACUUAAAUUUGUCACUGUAUAUGUUGGACUGUUUUAGCAUAUGAUAGUUGAAAACUUGAAAUGCAUUACUAGCCACUUUUGUUUUCUCUUAGGUGAGCACAUAGUAGGUGAAAUUCAUAACUAACAAGUAACAACUUUUGUCUUCUCUCAGGUGUGAAGCCAUGUCCACUUACCCACGAACUUAUGACUUCAUACAUGGUGAUUCAGUUUUUAGUCUUUACCAGAACAGGUAAAGUCAAUUUUUUUAGCUCUAAAGUUGGUUACAUGAUCACCUGUUUCUGUUGUCUUAUUUGAAAAUUGACACAUACUUGUGUCAACUGUGACUACCUAAGUCAAAGAUAACAAAACCUCCUAAGUUAUCAAAUUAUUGUCACAGAUGUAACAUGGAGGACAUUCUUCUGGAAAUGGAUCGAAUUUUGAGGCCGAAAGGUAGUGUCAUUUUGCGCGAUGAUGUGGAUGUGUUGGUGAAGGUAAAGAGCAUUGCAGAUGCAAUGCAGUGGGAUACAAAGAUUACAGACCAUGAAGAGGGACCUUACCAAAGAGAAAAGAUAUUGGUGGCAGUUAAGGAAUACUGGACAGCCCCACCCCCAGAACAAAUCCAAGAAAGCAAGAGCUAGUAUCAUCUGCUCUUUCAAAUCCUAAUUUUUAUUUUUGUCAAUUUUCUCAAGAAUUCAAUUCUUUCAUGCACAAAAUUUUCUUUGUUGGACAAGGUGAAAUCUGAUUUAAUCAUCAAGGUCCCCUAAAAAUUUGAGGCUUAUCAGUCUUUCAUCAAUGUUUAAUAAAUAAGGGAAAGCUUGUAAGUUGUUAGAACAUGGCUGCUAAUUGGUAAAUUCAACCUGUAUAAUGCUUCUCUAAGUAAACUCAGUAUAAACCAUUGUUCAAAUAAAUUACCGGCCAUAUUGCUAUAAAAUGAACAUUGAAAUCUUCAUGUUGUUGAUAAUUUGUUUUACUGAAAUGAGCGAAAGUCUCAGUGCAUUGGAC